UGGCGCACGGGUGAGUAACGCGUGGGUAAUCUACCCUUGGAUUUGGGAUAACUCUGCGAAAGUGGAGCUAAUACCGGAUAGUCUGGCUUUAAAUAAGAAGUCGGUAAAGGAUGCCUCUGCAUAUGCAUUCGUCCGAGGAUGAGCCCGCGUCUCAUUAGCUAGUUGGUAGGGUAAUGGCCUACCAAGGCAACGAUGAGUAGCUGGUCUGAGAGGAUGAUCAGCCACACUGGAACUGAAACACGGUCCAGACUCCUACGGGAGGCAGCAGUGGGGAAUAUUGCGCAAUGGGCGAAAGCCUGACGCAGCAACGCCGUGUGAGGGAUGAAGGCUUUCGGGUCGUAAACCUCUGUCGGAAGGGAAGAACGGGCAUUGGUCUAAUAGGCCUUUGUUUUGACGGUACCUUUAGAGGAAGCACCGGCUAACUCCGUGCCAGCAGCCGCGGUAAUACGGAGGGUGCAAGCGUUAUUCGGAAUUACUGGGCGUAAAGCGCACGUAGGCGGCCUUGUAAGUCAGGGGUGAAAUCCCACGGCUCAACCGUGGAACUGCCUUUGAAACUGCAGGGCUUGAAUCCUGGAGAGGGUGGCGGAAUUCCUGGUGUAGGAGUGAAAUCCGUAGAUAUCAGGAGGAACACCGGUGGCGAAGGCGGCCACCUGGACAGGUAUUGACGCUGAGGUGCGAAAGUGUGGGGAGCAAACAGGAUUAGAUACCCUGGUAGUCCACACCGUAAACGAUGGAUACUAGGUGUCGGGGACUUGAUCUUCGGU
RNAcentral lists this ribosomal RNA (764 nucleotides) under Desulfomicrobium sp. PR4_C11. RNAcentral describes it as "bacterial SSU rRNA". It matches the Rfam family "Bacterial small subunit ribosomal RNA", at positions 96 to 844 of the family's 1533-position model. Lineage: Bacteria; Pseudomonadati; Thermodesulfobacteriota; Desulfovibrionia; Desulfovibrionales; Desulfomicrobiaceae. The record is from RNAcentral.